Molecule: long non-coding RNA, 361 nt
Filed under: Ailuropoda melanoleuca (giant panda)
Lineage: Eukaryota; Metazoa; Chordata; Mammalia; Carnivora; Ursidae
Description: lncRNA (ENSAMEG00000027809.1)
Source: RNAcentral
GAGAACUUUCACUGGCACUCACUCCCCUUUGAAGGGAUAACUGGAGGUGGUAGCAGCCCACCCUCUCUCCUUAGUGUCCCACCAGAAGGAGUCCUGACCCCCCUGUCGUAACUGCGGAGCUUGUACCAAGAAAAGAGAAGCCCAGCAUGCUCUUCUGGACCAAACAUGGUAUUGAUGAGAGCCACGACUAGGAACUUACCAUGCCAAUAGGAUUUCUGAAAGCUGAGCGUGCACCCUUCCAGCUUUGCUUCAUCAGGUCCAGGAUGGAGCCCUUUUUUCAGAUCAGCUUGUGGUCCCUCUCAAGAAGAAAGCUCCCAUUCGGAACUGAGAACUGGAUUUUGCUUUAGACAACUUUUUGAUU